This 402-nucleotide ribosomal RNA is filed under the name uncultured bacterium. RNAcentral describes it as "bacterial SSU rRNA". It matches the Rfam family "Bacterial small subunit ribosomal RNA", at positions 355 to 774 of the family's 1533-position model. The record is from RNAcentral.
UGGGGAAUAUUGGACAAUGGGCGCAAGCCUGAUCCAGCCAUGCCGCGUGGAUGAUGAAGGCCCUAGGGUUGUAAAGUCCUUUUAACGGGGAAGAUAAUGACGGUACCCGUAGAAUAAGCCCCGGCUAACUUCGUGCCAGCAGCCGCGGUAAUACGAAGGGGGCUAGCGUUGCCCGGAAUUACUGGGCGUAAAGCGCAAGUAGGCGGACCGAUAAGUCGGGGGUGAAAUCCUGGAGCUCAACUCCAGAACUGCCUUCGAAACUGCCGGUCUUGAGUUCGGGAGAGGUGAGUGGAACUGCGAGUGUAGAGGUGAAAUUCGUAGAUAUCUGGAAGAACACCAGUUGCGCAGGCGGUCUCUUGGUCCGAUACUGACGCUGAGGCGCGAAAGCGUGGAGAGCAAACA